AGAGAGGCUGUGAGGGUGGCUUUGUGAGGAUGGCUUUGUGUGGCUGCACAUUGCCCUUGGCCAAGCCCCGCUGCCAGGAGAGGCAGCUCGGCUGCCAAACCUCCUGAACCCAAGUUACCUGAGCAAGCAGCCCUAUCCCCUCGCCUGCUUCUCACUGCCUCGCCUGCCUUGGGCCUGCCCGACCCAGGGGGUCACAUGCCUUGUUCCCCAUCAGUGGAGACCAGGGACAAGAAGACAGUUCUGUGGGAAGAGCCAGGAGGACCAUUUGGGAAAAUACAGGUUCCAGGUGUGUCUCCAGACCUUGAGAGUUGGUGUCUCCUGGGAAGAGGCCCUGAUGAGAUCUGGGGAGAUUCGGAUCUGAUGAGAUUCAGGAAGCCCUGGCCUCUCCGUACUUGAGGAGACGGGACACACAGGACAAGCUGCAGGCUGGUGAGCAGGUUCACCUUCUAUUUUGAAGACCCGCUUCUUCCUCAGUGAAAACCAUUUCCUCCUCGUCGUGGCGCAGGUCCAGAGGCUGCGCCCAUCUCUCCCACGUCAACAGUCCUGUGUCCUUGGCGAAGGACUGUUCUCUCAUUCAGUGCCUUUCCUCUCUUCCUGGGCCAAAUCCCUGCUUUGCGUCUCCCUGCAGCUCAUAAAAAGCUGAAUUACCUGAGGCAGGGAAAGCCCCACCCACUGUCAUUCUCAGGGAGGAGUGGAGUCUGCAGAGGCCGCAAUGCACAGCUUCCCUAUCCCCCUCCACCCGUGUUUUCCCAGAGCAGCUCUGUUCCAGGCCCGGGGGUGUCCCUGGGCCGAGAUGGAAUCCAGCCCUGACCACCUCCCAAAGCCAACAGCCCUGAGUGAGCGUGCAGAGAAGCAAGAGCUGUUCCUGAUGCAGAGCAAAGACAUCUCCCAGUCAAGGGGGAUGAACUGAUUUGGGACAAAAGGCAGUUGUUGGCUGAGGAAGGCAGGAUCUGGGGGAGCCCUGUGCUGAGUGGAGGUGGGUGGGUGUAUUUCCUUGGCUCACAGAGGCCUCUUGUCUGGUGGGAUCAGCUCCUCCAGCCAGUUGCCACCUGGUCCAGCUUUGGGAGAUGUGGAGAAUGACUUUCGCAGUGAUUUCCACUGGGCCAUGGCAUUGAAACAGCUGCAGGAGGGGACACAGCUGGUGCCACCCCUACUCCGUCCAUUAGAGCUGCUGUGAAGGAAUGCCACCCUCCCCAUGGGGAGUGAGGGGGCCCUACUUGCUGUGGUUGGUUCCAGGGACCAUGGGAAGAGGCAAACCCCUAUUUUCAAGGGCACAAGUUGGCUUUUAUUAAAAUAAAAUUUCAUC
RNAcentral lists this long non-coding RNA (1306 nucleotides) under Homo sapiens (human). Its description in RNAcentral is "long intergenic non-protein coding RNA 1819". The record is from RNAcentral. Lineage: Eukaryota; Metazoa; Chordata; Mammalia; Primates; Hominidae.